This 388-nucleotide long non-coding RNA is filed under the name Brassica napus (rape). RNAcentral describes it as "long non-coding RNA (BNAP_LNC012147)". Lineage: Eukaryota; Viridiplantae; Streptophyta; Magnoliopsida; Brassicales; Brassicaceae. The record is from RNAcentral.
GUGGAGAUUGGCUAAAAGAAACUAGGAUUUUCUAGAGUUAUAGAAAAUGAAACGAUUUAUUUUAAUAUAUAUUAGAAUUGAAUUGUAAAUUAAAUUUUGGUUUAGUAUUGUGAUUAAGUGGCUAAGGUUGGACAUGUAAAUGGUAAACCAAAAUUAACUAUGGUUUUAUGUUCAAAUUGAUUUUAAGUAUGAAUAUAUGUCUAUGUAAGUUUUCAACUUUUAUUCCGAGUAAAAAGAUGUUUUAAACAUUUAUUUGAUUGAAAAAUAAAAUAAAGCAUACUUUUGUAGAUAUAGUGGUAUAUGAAAGUUUAGAGGAGAAAAUAGAUCUUAAUUCGAGUUUUAUCAUAUAUAAAUUUGUUAGUACAAAAUAAGAAUUAGAUACACUUUA